Molecule: ribosomal RNA, 494 nt
Filed under: uncultured bacterium
Lineage: Bacteria
Description: partial 16S ribosomal RNA
Rfam family: Bacterial small subunit ribosomal RNA
Source: RNAcentral
GACGAACGCUGGCGGCGUGCUUAACACAUGCAAGUCGAACGGUGAAGCGCCUUCCUUUUUGGUGGGUGUGGAUGAGUGGCGAACGGGUGAGUAACACGUGAGUAACCUGCCCCCUUCUUCUGGAUAACCGCAUGAAAGUGUGGCUAACACGGGAUAUUCUGGGUCUGUCGCAUGAUGGGUCUGGGAAAGAUAUUGUUUCGGUGGGGGAUGGGCUCGCGGCCUAUCAGCUUGUUGGUGGGGUGAUGGCCUACCAAGGCGGUGACGGGUAGCCGGCCUGAGAGGGUGGACGGUCACACUGGGACUGAGACACGGCCCAGACUCCUACGGGAGGCAGCAGUGGGGAAUAUUGCACAAUGGGCGCAAGCCUGAUGCAGCGACGCCGCGUGAGGGAUGGAGGCCUUCGGGUUGUGAACCUCUUUCGCCAGUGAAGCAGGCCUGCCUCGUUUGUGGGUGGGUUGACGGUAGCUGGAGAAGAAGCGCCGGCUAACUACGUG